GAGGAGAGCGCAGAAGCCGUAAGCGGUGCGCGCUCGGGGCAGGUGAGGCAGCGAGAGCGCGGCCUGCGAGCGCGGGUCCCAGUCCGUGCGCCCCGCGCAGUCGUCUGCUUCCCGGGGCCACAGGUCCGGCUCGGCGGCGCACCGUCGGGGCAAAGCGGCAGUCGGGGGCGAAGACUCGAGCGCACACGGCGCAGGCAGUCGCGGCGGGAUGCAGAACUCAGGGAUGCGAUCAGGAGUAAGCACAUUGGUGAAGUUCCUCUGGUUCUUGAGUUGCAAGUUCUAUGCCCGAAGCCUCCCGGUCUCUGCUGGCACGCCAGCUUCAGCACUGUGGCCGGGACAGAGGUGCUCCUGUCUUAUAAGCAGACCCUGAGUCCCGCCCAGCGGGUCGAAGCCCAACCGCUGGCGGCGCUGGAUGGCCCGCCCCCCGGACCACCCCUUCUCGCCAACGCUGGGCUCUGCCGCGGAGGCUCGCGUGGGAGUGAAGCUGUGGUGUGAGUCGGAAUUCUCUGCUCAGCCCUGUGACCGCAUCCGCUCUGCGUGCAGAGGAACUGCUUCCGCGGGCCAGUGAAAGGUUGCAGGUGGGGAGGGAGGACGCUCUACCGCCCUCCCAGAAGUGGCGGCUGAAAAUGUUUGUGGCUUUUUGGAAAAGGUGAACCUGGGUGAGGAAACAGGAAGUUCCUUUUUGCUGAGCUCUAAAUCCUGCUCCCCUGCAUGUUACCUAUACGCAUUAGGAGCUUCUAUUUUACUGCUCCCAUGAACCUGCACUAUGUAGUCCAGUGUAUUUCCCAUGGUACUCCUGUACUUAUUUACACCCCAGUCUCCCUCUGCUGGACCGUGGCCUUCCUAACAGAAUGGGGCCUGGCUCAGUCAAUGCCAUGUAUAUUGGUGAAUUGAGUGAAUUAAUGUUUGCAAAAAUGUCUGAGUGACUGCAGGCUCUGCCUAUCAUGUUGAUUGUCACGAAAGGUGGGGUUUCUAGCUCAUGUUCUAAAAAUGAUAUUUCCAAAGCUAUCCCUGUCUCUGCUCUACUAUCCAGGUAUCCAGUUAGAAAGCACCUUAGAGAAAAUUCAGAUUGUCCCUUUCCACCAUCCCCCAACCUUCAUUUUCGAAGAUGAGAAAACUGGAAUUCCAGUGGGAUUUGAGGAUAUUCUAUUAACCUUCAAUAGAGCUAGUUAAUGGCAGAACCCAGAACUAGCAAUUUUCUAUUUAUUAGGUUUCACAUGUGAUGCUUCCUGUUAUCUGAAAUACCCUUCUCCACUUUUUAUAUAUAUAGGAACUCCUUUUUAUUGUUCAGCAGACAUCAUCCCCUUUAGGACCCUUUACCCAACUCCCCUACUACAGUUGUCAGCCUCUCCACAUUUCCUUCAUACACAAAUGUGUCACCAUUGCUGCAUAUACCAGGCUGCUUUGGAAUUUUAGGUGUAGACUAAUAGACUGAGUUUGUUUCUUUCUUUUUGUCCUUUUAGGGCUGUAUCCAUGGUAUAUGGAGGUUCCCACGCUAGGGGUUGAAUUGGAGCCACAGCUGCUGGCCUGUACUACAGCCACAGCAACACCAGAUCCGAGCCACAUCUGCAACCUACACCAUAGCUCACGGCAACGCCGGAUCCUUAACCCACUGAGCAAGGCCAGGGAUCGAACCUGCAUCAUCAUAGAUACUGGUCAGAUUCGUUUCUACUGAGCCACAACUGGAAUUCCUGGACUAUGAGUUUCUUAUGGGCAAGGGCUGGGGCAACUCAGCUAGGACUGGGGGACUUACUAUGAAUAGAUAUAAAAUAAAAACAAGUGUUAUGACCCAGAACCUGGGUUGGCCUCUGUCCCAAAGCAGACCUCUCCAAGAGACAAGUCUGGCUGUCUUAUUCAUCUCAUCCAGUUUCAGCACCUGGAGAUACAAUACCAAGCAAAUAAUAAGUGCUCAGUAAAUAUUUGAUGAAUUAUAUUGUGUUGAAUUUAGCCUGAUCUGCAAUCCAGGUCUUAUGACUGUCAUGUGCUUUUAACCACAUAUCUAACUGCUGUAUUCAGUUUCUUUCUCAUAACAAACCAGUGUAGUGGACAUUGCUUCUGUUUACAAGAAAAGAAACUGAUGCUCAGAU
Molecule: long non-coding RNA, 2087 nt
Filed under: Sus scrofa (pig)
Lineage: Eukaryota; Metazoa; Chordata; Mammalia; Artiodactyla; Suidae
Description: lncRNA (ENSSSCG00015014026.1)
Source: RNAcentral